AGAGUUUGAUCCUGGCUCAGGACGAACGCUGGCGGCGUGCUUAACACAUGCAAGUCAGGGAUACCGAGGUAGCAAUAUCUCGGGACACCGGCGCACGGGUGAGUAACACGCAGGUAACCUACCUUUAGGUCUGGAAUAACCCGUCGAAAGGCGGAUUAAUACCGGAUAAUUCAGUGGCUCCGCAUGGAGCUGCUGUUAAACCCCGCAAGGGGGCCGAUAGAUGGACCUGCGUCCCAUUAGAUAGUUGGCGGGGUAACGGCCCACCAAGUCUACGAUGGGUAGCUGAUCUGAGAGGAUGAUCAGCCACACUGGAACUGAGACACGGUCCAGACUCCUACGGGAGGCAGCAGUGAGGAAUAUUGCGCAAUGGACGAAAGUCUGACGCAGCGACGCCGCGUGAAGGAUGAAGGCUCUUUGAGUCGUAAACUUCUGUAGAGAGGGAAGAAUUGCUCGUUAUACGGGCUUGACGGUACCUCUAAAGUAAGGAUCGGCCAACUACGUGCCAGCAGCCGCGGUAAUACGUAGGAUCCGAGCGUUGUCCGGAUUUAUUGGGUGUAAAGGGAGCGCAGGCGGGUCUAUAAGUCGAGGGUGAAAUCUUACAGCUUAACUGUAAAACUGCCUUCGAUACUGUAGAUCUUGAGUGUAGGAAAGGGCGAUGGAAUUCAUGGUGUAGCGGUGAAAUGCGUAGAUAUCAUGAAGAACACCAGUUGCGAAGGCGGUCGCCUAGCCUAUUACUGACGCUCAUGCUCGAAAGUGUGGGGAGCAAACAGGAUUAGAUACCCUGGUAGUCCACACCUUAAACGAUGAAUACUAGGUGUCGGGUCGCAAGACUCGGUGCCAAAGCUAACGCAUUAAGUAUUCCACCUGGGGAGUACGAUCGCAAGGUUGAAACUCAAAGGAAUUGACGG
This 908-nucleotide ribosomal RNA is filed under the name uncultured bacterium. RNAcentral describes it as "bacterial SSU rRNA". It matches the Rfam family "Bacterial small subunit ribosomal RNA", at positions 8 to 916 of the family's 1533-position model. The record is from RNAcentral.